CAAGUCGAGGGGCAGCAGGACUGUAGCAAUACAGUUGCUGGCGACCGGCAAACGGGUGCGGAACACGUACGCAACUUACCCAAAACUGGGGAAUAGCCCGGGGAAACCCGGAUUAAUACCUCGUAACAUAAUGGAGUGGCAUCACUUUAUUAUUAUAGCUCCGGCGGUUUUGGAUGGGCGUGCGCCUGAUUAGGUAGUUGGCGGGGUAACGGCCCACCAAGCCUGCGAUCAGUAACUGGUGUGAGAGCACGACCAGUCACACGGGCACUGAGACACGGGCCCGACUCCUACGGGAGGCAGCAGUAAGGAAUAUUGGUCAAUGGACGCAAGUCUGAACCAGCCAUGCCGCGUGAAGGAUGAAGGUCCUCUGGAUUGUAAACCUCUUUUAUAUGGGACGAAACCCCCUGAUUCCUCAGGGAUUGACGGUACCAUAGGAAUAAGCACCGGCUAACUCCGUGCCAGCAGCCGCGGUAAUACGGAGGGUGCAAGCGUUAUCCGGAUUCACUGGGUUUAAAGGGUGCGUAGGAGGGCAGGUAAGUCAGUGGUGAAAUCUCCGAGCUUAACUUGGAAACUGCCGUUGAUACUAUCUGCCUUGAAUAUUGUGGAGGUGAGCGGAAUAUGUCAUGUAGCGGUGAAAUGCUUAGAUAUGACAUAGAACACCAAUUGCGAAGGCAGCUCGCUACACAUAUAUUGACUCUGAGGCACGAAAGCGUGGGGAUCAAACAGGAUUAGAUACCCUGGUAGUCCACGCCCUAAACGAUGGAUACUCGACAUACGCGAUACACUGUGUGUGUCUGAGCGAAAGCAUUAAGUAUCCCACCUGGGAAGUAC
This 831-nucleotide ribosomal RNA is filed under the name uncultured Flavobacteriia bacterium. Its description in RNAcentral is "bacterial SSU rRNA". It matches the Rfam family "Bacterial small subunit ribosomal RNA", at positions 58 to 883 of the family's 1533-position model. Lineage: Bacteria; Pseudomonadati; Bacteroidota; Flavobacteriia. The record is from RNAcentral.